GCAGGCAUAGUUUAAUGGUAGAAUUUGUGCUUCCCAAGCAUACGGUGCGGGUUCGAUUCCCGUUGCCUGCUCCA
This 74-nucleotide transfer RNA is filed under the name Coprobacillus sp. CAG:605. Its description in RNAcentral is "transfer RNA-Gly(CCC)". It matches the Rfam family "tRNA". From Rfam's summary of the family: Transfer RNA (tRNA) molecules are approximately 80 nucleotides in length. Their secondary structure includes four short double-helical elements and three loops (D, anti-codon, and T loops). RNAcentral also lists the same sequence under 3 other names. Lineage: Bacteria; Bacillati; Bacillota; Erysipelotrichia; Erysipelotrichales; Coprobacillaceae. The record is from RNAcentral.